GUCCUGCAGUCUUCACAGAGAUUUUCCUGGACACUGAAGCCUGCAGACAUUCAUCCGAGCUGAUUCAGCAGCUGCACCUUCAUCCUGCAGAGUCAUCCUCCUCACUGUCAGCAGCUAAUUAUCAAGCUAUCUGCAGACAAGGUUCUGCUUGUCUCAGGAGACCAUGAGGGUUUGUAUUAUUUACCGUCAGGACGUCCUCCUCUUACCACAGACAGGUAUGAAGACACACCCUGCAAUGUGCUCAAGCAAGUCCAACAUCAGCUUUCUAUGGGUCGUACCCGGUAAUGAUGUUAGUUCUGUGUUGUUUUCUGCUUCUGUUCAGAACUCAGACCUGAACCACCGUAACAGGAAGUUGAUUCUUUCCUGCAUCUGCUGAUAAUUUUCUUAUCAUCUAUGAAACAACGAGUUCUUUCGGCCCAAAGAUCGAUGUGUUAAACCGGAGCCUUGGUAGUCCCAACACCAGGGUGUCAAACUCCAGUCCUUCAGGACAGUCGUCCUCAGAUGUCUCUGCUUCAGCACAAUAAAAUCAAACAGGUUAGAGAUGAAAGCAGCACCGACACAGAAACCAAAGGAAUGAUAAACUCUAGAACAAAGCAUCCAGAAAGUGUCUAGAUGUGGCUGGAAGGUCAGAUAUCUUCAUCUGGUCCAAGAAGAGCAGAAGUUCUGCUGAACUCUCGGUCCAAUCUGACAAUGACUGGUUCUAUAGCAAACUGUGCUUCUUUCAUUAAAGUAUGAUUCAUUUGACAUAAAA
This is a long non-coding RNA of Girardinichthys multiradiatus, 751 nucleotides long. RefSeq lists it as uncharacterized. The transcript is spliced from 2 exons. The record is from RefSeq and is a predicted model, not a curated record. Lineage: Eukaryota; Metazoa; Chordata; Actinopteri; Cyprinodontiformes; Goodeidae.